UAAACGACUCUCGGCAAYGGAUAUCUCGGCUCUCGCAUCGAUGAAGAAYGUAGCGAWWUGCGAUACUUGGUGUGAAUUGCAGAAUCCCGUGAACCAUCGAGUCUUUGAACGCAAGUUGCGCCCGAAGCCUUCUGGCUGAGGGCACGCCUGCCUGGGCGUCACGCA
Molecule: ribosomal RNA, 165 nt
Filed under: Veronica macrantha
Lineage: Eukaryota; Viridiplantae; Streptophyta; Magnoliopsida; Lamiales; Plantaginaceae
Description: 5.8S ribosomal RNA
Rfam family: 5.8S ribosomal RNA
About the family: 5.8S ribosomal RNA (5.8S rRNA) is a component of the large subunit of the eukaryotic ribosome.
Source: RNAcentral